UAAUACAGAGGAGGCAAGCGUUGUUCGGAAUCACUGGGCUUAAAGCGCGUGUAGGCGGCCUGGUAAGUACCCUGUGAAAUCCCUCGGCUUAACCGUGGAAUCGCAGGGUAUACUGCCGGGCUUGAGGCGGAUAGAGGUGCCUGGAACUCUAGGUGGAGCGGUGAAAUGCGUAGAUAUCUAGAGGAACGCCCGUGGCGAAAGCGGGGCACUGGGUCCGAUCUGACGCUGAGACGCGAAAGCGUAGGGAGCAAACGGGAUUAGAUACCCCGGUAGUCUACGCCGUAAACGAUGCGCACUAGGCUUUUAUACUUCUGACAGUAUGAGAGCCGAAACAAAAGCGUUAAGUGCGCCGCCUGGGAAGUACGGCCGCAAGGCUA
RNAcentral lists this ribosomal RNA (377 nucleotides) under uncultured bacterium. Its description in RNAcentral is "bacterial SSU rRNA". It matches the Rfam family "Bacterial small subunit ribosomal RNA", at positions 521 to 896 of the family's 1533-position model. The record is from RNAcentral.